Molecule: long non-coding RNA, 666 nt
Filed under: Manihot esculenta (cassava)
Lineage: Eukaryota; Viridiplantae; Streptophyta; Magnoliopsida; Malpighiales; Euphorbiaceae
Description: long non-coding RNA (MESC_LNC004658)
Source: RNAcentral
UUUUGGGAAGAUGUUUAAGAGUUAAUAAGAGUAUGUUUGACACCUCAAUCGAGUCCUUUUGUGUAGGAUCGGACCCGACAGUUCAGGGAGGUCGUCAGGUUUAGCAGUUGCAGAGUCAGUCAGGUUUCUGCUUGAGGAGCAGAGGUGAGUAGAACUAAACGUAAUCUUUUAUUAAAGAAACAUAGUGCUUUAGCAUAGUUCAUGCAUCAUGAAUGCUAUGAUAUGUAUUAGGGUGAUUGCAUUAGAAUCACGAAUAUGAAGCAUUGCAUAUUAUUGUUGAUUAUGUGAUCAGAGGUUAGGUGGACCCAGGCGACUCCAAUAGCCUAAGCUUCGGCUCCUGUCAUUGUGUCAGGUCAGUUGGGCAAGUACAUGUUGGUAUGCCCUGUGUAGCUCCUUUGGGGGGGCCAGUAUUGACAGAGGGUAUUUUUGGGGUCAUGUCUACCUUAGUGGAGAUUGGACCAAGGCGACUUCAAUAGCCCGUCGAGGGAGUUUUGGGGUCAUGUCUAAUCCAAGAUAUAUUGAGAUGUUUGUUUGGUGAUGCAUUUUCAUAUAUAGUGCGUAUGAAUGAACUGUUUUCAGUGUUUCUACUCACUGGGCUUUAGAAGCUCAUCCCUUUCCCUUAAUCCCAGUUUUGCAGGUUCAGAGUAGCUGGGAAGGGCAGAAGCA